RNAcentral lists this non-coding RNA (24 nucleotides) under Cricetulus griseus (Chinese hamster). Lineage: Eukaryota; Metazoa; Chordata; Mammalia; Rodentia; Cricetidae. The record is from RNAcentral.
GUUUUUCGAAACAGGGUUUCUCUG